RNAcentral lists this non-coding RNA (96 nucleotides) under Candidatus Pseudobutyricicoccus lothianensis. Its description in RNAcentral is "Glycine riboswitch". The stretch from base 7 to 91 matches the Rfam family "Glycine riboswitch aptamer", at positions 10 to 85 of the family's 94-position model. From Rfam's summary of the family: This family represents the bacterial glycine riboswitch. Glycine riboswitches usually consist of two metabolite-binding aptamers domains with similar structures in tandem. The record is from RNAcentral. Lineage: Bacteria; Bacillati; Bacillota; Clostridia. RNAcentral also lists the same sequence under 1 other name.
AACUUAUCGGGAGAGACCCUUCAAAAGGGCGCCGAAGAUGCAAGCGAUGCCUUGUCGGAAGCAGCGCGAAACUUUCAGGCAAAAGGACCGAAGCGG